CCUACGGGGGGCAGCAGUAGGGAAUCUUUCACAAUGGGCGAAAGCCUGAUGGAGCAACGCCGCGUGCAGGAUGAAGGCCCUCGGGUUGGAAACUGCUUUUAUAAGCGAGAAAAAAGAUGGUAACUUAUGAGUAAGGAUCGUCUAACUACGUGCCAGCAGCCGCGGUCAUACGUAGGAGCCGAGCAUUAUCCGGAGUGACUGGGUGUAAAGAGUUGCGUAGGUGGCAUAAUAAGUAGCUAGUGAAAUCUGGUGGCUCAACCAUUCAGACUAUUAGCUAAACUGUUAAGCUCGAGACCGUUAGGGGCAUCUGGAAUUUCUAGUGUAGGAGUGAAAUCCGUAGAUAUUAGAAGGAACACCAAUAGCGUAGGCAGGAUGCUGGGACGGUUCUGACACUAAGGCACGAAGGCGUAGGGAGCAAACGGGAUUAGAUACCCGUGUAGUC
RNAcentral lists this ribosomal RNA (442 nucleotides) under uncultured bacterium. RNAcentral describes it as "partial 16S ribosomal RNA". It matches the Rfam family "Bacterial small subunit ribosomal RNA", at positions 338 to 795 of the family's 1533-position model. The record is from RNAcentral.